GACGAACGCUGGCGGCGUGCUUAACACAUGCAAGUCGAACGGAAAGGCCCUGCUUUUGUGGUGUUCUCGAGUGGCGAACGGGUGAGUAACACGUGAGUAACCUGCCCUUGACUUUGGGAUAACUUCAGGAAACUGGGGCUAAUACCGGAUAGGAGCUCCUGCUGCAUGGUGGGGGUUGGAAAUUUUCGGCGGUUGGGGAUGGACUCGCGGCUUAUCAGCUUGUUGGUGGGGUAGUGGCUUACCAAGGCUUUGACGGGUAGCCGGCCUGAGAGGGUGACCGGCCACAUUGGGACUGAGAUACGGACCAGACUGCUACGGGAGGCAGCAGUGGGGAAUAUUGCACAAUGGGCGGAAGCCUGAUGCAGCAACGCCGCGUGCGGGAUGACGGCCUUCGGGUUGUAAACCGCUGUCGCCUGUGACGAAGCGUGAGUGACGGUAAUGGGUAAAGAAGCACCGGCUAACUACGUG
RNAcentral lists this ribosomal RNA (468 nucleotides) under uncultured bacterium. RNAcentral's name for it is "partial 16S ribosomal RNA". It matches the Rfam family "Bacterial small subunit ribosomal RNA", at positions 28 to 507 of the family's 1533-position model. The record is from RNAcentral.